CGUACCCUGUCGUGGGGGAUAACACAGCGAAAGCUGUGCUAAUACCGCAUACGACCUGAGGGUGAAAGCGGGGGAUCGCAAGACCUCGCGCGAUAGGAGCGGCCGAUAUCGGAUUAGCUUGUUGGUGAGGUAAAGGCUCACCAAGGCGACGAUCCGUAGCUGGUCUGAGAGGACGACCAGCCACACUGGAACUGAGACACGGUCCAGACUCCUACGGGAGGCAGCAGUGGGGAAUUUUGGACAAUGGGGGCAACCCUGAUCCAGCCAUUCCGCGUGAGUGAAGAAGGCCUUCGGGUUGUAAAGCUCUUUCAGCAGGAACGAAACGGUGGCUACUAAUACUAGCUACUAAUGACGGUACCUGAAGAAGAAGCACCGGCUAACUACGUGCCAGCAGCCGCGGUAAUACGUAGGGUGCGAGCGUUAAUCGGAAUUACUGGGCGUAAAGCGUGCGCAGGCGGUUAUGUAAGACAGGUGUGAAAUCCCCGGGCUUAACCUGGGAACUGCGCUUGUGACUGCAUAACUCGAGUGUGGCAGAGGGGGGUGGAAUUCCACGUGUAGCAGUGAAAUGCGUAGAGAUGUGGAGGAACACCGAUGGCGAAGGCAGCCCCCUGGGUCAACACUGACGCUCAUGCACGAAAGCGUGGGGAGCGAACAGGAUUAGAUACCCUGGUAGUCCACGCCCUAAACGAUGCGAACUGGGUGUUGGGGAAGGAGACUUUCUUAGUACCGCAGCUAACGCGUGAAGUUCGCCGCCUGGGGAGUACGGUCGCAAGAUUAAAACUCAAAGGAAUUGACGGGGACCCGCACAAGCGGUGGAUGAUGUGGAUUAAUUCGAUGCAACGCGAAAAACCUUACCUACCCUUGACAUGUCAGGAAGUCCGCUGAGAGGUGGAUGUGCUCGAAAGAGAACCUGAACACAGGUGCUGCAUGGCUGUCGUCAGCUCGUGUCGUGAGAUGUUGGGUUAAGUCCCGCAACGAGCGCAACCCUUGUCAUUAAUUGCCAUCAUUCAGUUGGGCACUUUAAUGAGACUGCCGGUGACAAACCGGAGGAAGGUGGGGAUGACGUCAAGUCCUCAUGGCCCUUAUGGGUAGGGCUUCACACGUCAUACAAUGGUCGGUACAGAGGGUCGCCAACCCGCGAGGGGGAGCCAAUCCCACAAAGCCGAUCGUAGUCCGGAUCGCAGUCUGCAACUCGACUGCGUGAAGUCGGAAUCGCUAGCAAUCGUGGAUCAGCAUGUCACGGUGAAUACGUUCCC
Molecule: ribosomal RNA, 1256 nt
Filed under: metagenome
Description: bacterial SSU rRNA
Rfam family: Bacterial small subunit ribosomal RNA
Source: RNAcentral